UACGUAGGGGGCAAGCGUUGUCCGGAUUUAUUGGGCGUAAAGAGCGUGUAGGCGGCUAUGCAGGUCCGUUGUGAAAACUCGAGGCUCAACCUCGAGCUGUCGAUGGAAACCGUGUGGCUAGAGUCCGGAAGAGGAGAGCGGAAUUCCUGGUGUAGCGGUGAAAUGCGCAGAUAUCAGGAAGAACACCCGUGGCGAAGGCGGCUCCCUGGUACGUGACUGACGCUGAGACGCGAAAGCGUGGGGAGCGAACAGGAUUAGAUACCCUGGUAGUCCACGCCGUAAACGAUGGGUGCUAGGUGUGGGCGGUGUCGCCUCCGCCCGUGCCGAAGCUAACGCAUUAAGCACCCCGCCUGGGGAGUACGGCCGCAAGGCUA
RNAcentral lists this ribosomal RNA (374 nucleotides) under uncultured Gaiellaceae bacterium. RNAcentral describes it as "bacterial SSU rRNA". It matches the Rfam family "Bacterial small subunit ribosomal RNA", at positions 524 to 896 of the family's 1533-position model. The record is from RNAcentral. Lineage: Bacteria; Bacillati; Actinomycetota; Thermoleophilia; Gaiellales; Gaiellaceae.